Molecule: ribosomal RNA, 253 nt
Filed under: uncultured bacterium
Lineage: Bacteria
Description: partial 16S ribosomal RNA
Rfam family: Bacterial small subunit ribosomal RNA
Source: RNAcentral
UACGGAGGGUGCGAGCGUUGUUCGGAAUCACUGGGCGUAAAGCGCGUGUAGGCGGCUUCUUAAGUCCGAUGUGAAAGCCCGGGGCUCACCCCCGGAAGUGCAUUGGAUACUGGGAAGCUGGAGUACCGGAGAGGAGGGUGGAAUUCCUGGUGUAGCGGUGAAAUGCGUAGAUAUCAGGAGGAACACCUGUGGCGAAGGCGGCCCUCUGGACGGAUACUGACGCUGAGGAGCGAAAGCGUGGGGAGCAAACAGG